UAAGUAGGUAGUGAAAUUGUGUGGCUCAACCAUACACCCAUUAUCUAAACUGCUCAGCUAGAGUAUGGGAGAGGUCACUGGAAUUUCUAGUGUAGGAGUGAAAUCCGUAGAUAUUAGAAGGAACACCGAUGGCGUAGGCAGGUGACUGGCCCAUUACUGACACUAAGGCACGAAAGCGUGGGAGCGAACGGGAUUAGAUACCCCGGUAGUCCACGCCGUAAACUAUGGAUGCUA
This 234-nucleotide ribosomal RNA is filed under the name uncultured Candidatus Saccharibacteria bacterium. RNAcentral's name for it is "partial 16S ribosomal RNA". It matches the Rfam family "Bacterial small subunit ribosomal RNA", at positions 584 to 818 of the family's 1533-position model. Lineage: Bacteria; Candidatus Saccharimonadota. The record is from RNAcentral.